UGCUACUUGGCAUUCCACUUAAUUAAAAGAUGCCAAGUGCGUUUCCAUGUCAGCCCCACAUCAUAAUACCGUAGCAUCUCAAAGACUUUCCACCCCUUUAAAAAGAGAGAGAGAGAGAGAGGGGAUAUAAGAAUCUUUCCCCGGAAAAUAGAAAAUAACUCCUACAAUCCCAUUGACUUAAAGGGGGAAGAAUUUGCUAUGCUAAGCUCACCAAUGUGGAAAAAAAGGGACUAACAAUAUAAUCAGCAUUCAAGGGUCCCAUCAUCGAGUUUCUCAGAUAUUACGCUGGAACUGGACAAUAAGCAAGCUUCACGAUAUCUGUAUGUGUUCAUACCAUCCGAAUUUCCCAUUUGCCAGAUGCUCCUCCAAAGCUCAAUGUUAACACUUGCUGCCUAAACGACCAACACUCGUGGCACUUGCCUAUGGCAUGCAGCAUUACAGGCCCUAAGGAUUUGGUGACACAUCCCCACUUAAACUGGUCACAAUAUCCUCACGUACCGACCAUGUCUUUGUUGGCCUCAUUUCGCUUAGAAGGUUUUUCUCUCUUUGGUAGUUUCUACUGUAGAUCCUUUGGUAAAAGCAUGGAGCACCUAUUUAGGGGCGACAUCAAACCAACCAUGUUCUAACUUGCUUAUUUCAAGGCAUUCUGUCGCUCGGUACCUAUACUCAAGCGGAUAUUCAUCUUGAAGAAAUGUCUCUGCUUAGGCAUAUACUCAACUUAGUUCUCAUGUGGGAACUUUGCUUGGUGAAUGCUCAUUCCAAGCGCUAUCGCAAUUUUCAAUCUUAUGUUUGAACUUUGAUUUAGGAACCUGUCCUAAGGUUCUUUAAUUUUUCUACUAUAAAUCUUUAUUUUUCGCCUGUAUACACCAAUGCUAUAUGGAUGGGGCAAGAAUGUUGCAGCAUAGUCAGCAGUAUACAUCUGAACAAGAAAAACAAUACGAUGAAAAUUUAUAUGUCGAUGUGAGGCAUAUUAAAUAUUAACUGAUUCUGGCUUAAAGACAAUAUACCAAUUGUUGGUCCGGGAAUACCAAUCUAUCCGGGCACCAUAUUUCUGUAGCUGUUUUCUGGUAACCUUGUAGAUUGCUGCUGCAUUCAUGAUUCAUCCCUACUCUUUCAAAUCUUUUACUACCCCGCUCCUGUCAACCAAAAUUACUUACAAGGGUAGUGGGGAAGCUAACUUGAAAAUUCUAAUCUUUUUUAAUUUUCAUUGUUUAUGGUAAGAUAUGCAAAGCUUACUAGCUAUGUUCUCCAGUAUGAGCUGUGUAAACACAAAGAUGAAGGUGUCUUAUUCUAAAAAAAAUGAUGAAUGGUGUCCUGCUUUUGUAGUGGCAGAGAAGUUCACACAUCGGUGCAUAUGUAAGAUUCUCAGUAUUAAACUCAUUGUACUAUACAGAUUUAGAUAUAAUAUUUGUUGUGAUUAUAUA
Molecule: long non-coding RNA, 1424 nt
Organism: Lycium barbarum (goji berry)
Lineage: Eukaryota; Viridiplantae; Streptophyta; Magnoliopsida; Solanales; Solanaceae
Exons: 2
Source: RefSeq, a predicted model, not a curated record